GUCCACAGGGUUCAGUGCUCCAG
Molecule: microRNA, 23 nt
Filed under: Xenopus laevis (African clawed frog)
Lineage: Eukaryota; Metazoa; Chordata; Amphibia; Anura; Pipidae
Description: xla-miR-146b-3p
Gene: xla-miR-146b-3p
Source: miRBase by way of RNAcentral